RNAcentral lists this transfer RNA (91 nucleotides) under Felis catus (domestic cat). It matches the Rfam family "tRNA". Rfam says of the family: Transfer RNA (tRNA) molecules are approximately 80 nucleotides in length. The record is from Rfam by way of RNAcentral. RNAcentral also lists the same sequence under 1 other name. Lineage: Eukaryota; Metazoa; Chordata; Mammalia; Carnivora; Felidae.
GCCUGGGUAGCUCAGUUGGUUAAGCAUCUGACUCUAGGUUUCAGCUCAGGUCAUGAUAUCAUGGUUGUGGGAUCAAACCCCACGUCAGGCU